Molecule: ribosomal RNA, 253 nt
Filed under: uncultured bacterium
Lineage: Bacteria
Description: partial 16S ribosomal RNA
Rfam family: Bacterial small subunit ribosomal RNA
Source: RNAcentral
UACAGAGGGUGCAAGCGUUAAUCGGAUUUACUGGGCGUAAAGCGCGCGUAGGUGGCUAAUUAAGUCAAAUGUGAAAUCCCCGAGCUUAACUUGGGAAUUGCAUUCGAUACUGGUUAGCUAGAGUAUGGGAGAGGAUGGUAGAAUUCCAGGUGUAGCGGUGAAAUGCGUAGAGAUCUGGAGGAAUACCGAUGGCGAAGGCAGCCAUCUGGCCUAAUACUGACACUGAGGUGCGAAAGCAUGGGGAGCAAACAGG